AGUUUCUGAUUUAUUUUCAUCCUUUUUAAUUUUCCUUCUCCUCAUUAGGGCUGUGAAUCCCCUCUCUGGGAACCUGGAACUUCCUAUGCAUGAAGAAAAACUGUUUACAUGAAAGAAAGCUGUGGGGAGAGAUCAAGAACCAUGAAUUUUUUGAGAAAACCUUUGUGUCCAACACACAGCCCAUUGCAGAUCCAAGUGCAUCCACCCUACUGGGGUGAGUCUCAUGUAUAUUCAAAUUUUCCAUUGGAUGGAAAAGCACUGUACUGGUGAAGUUGAAACACUCCAUUUUUAAUAGCUAGAGAAGUAACACAGUGUCUGGGUAAUAAGUCCUAUCACACAGGCACAUCCCUGGAAAAAUCCACUCUAUUUUUACUGGGAGACCCUCUGCCAUCAAUUUGCUGCCUGACCCAAGUUCCUUAAUUUUCCCUGCAAGUAAAGUGAGAAUACAGUCCUUUUUGGGAUAAUUGUUCAUUUAUUUCAGCAAUAUGUGCUAUGAUGAGUAUUAAUAAGCUUGUCUCCAAGUGACCAAAAAAUUACUUCUUUAGUUUUUAUUAGUGAAAUAUGGCCAGUCAUACAAAAAUGUACUUCUCUGGCAUACUCUCCACUUACCAUAAUGAGGAAGUAUAUCUCAAGAAAUAUAUGGUUAGAAAUAAUGCUUUUAUGUUUUCUAUAUUUUGUUAUUUUUGCCUCAAAUCACAGCUCAGUUCAGCGUGAUCUGACAUGGUUGAAAUACUGAAACCCCCACUCCUCCAAAGCAGUGUUUAUUAUAGAAACCACAAACUUAACCUAACCUAGAGCAGCUUUUCCAGCAGUGAUAUAAUUACAGUAGUUAUUGUUGCAAUAAACCAGAUGUUCCUGAGCUGGAAUGAAAGCA
This 874-nucleotide long non-coding RNA is filed under the name Junco hyemalis (dark-eyed junco). Its description in RNAcentral is "lncRNA (ENSJHYG00000005090.1)". Lineage: Eukaryota; Metazoa; Chordata; Aves; Passeriformes; Passerellidae. The record is from RNAcentral.